Molecule: long non-coding RNA, 8688 nt
Filed under: Chlamydomonas reinhardtii
Lineage: Eukaryota; Viridiplantae; Chlorophyta; Chlorophyceae; Chlamydomonadales; Chlamydomonadaceae
Description: long non-coding RNA (CREI_LNC001375)
Source: RNAcentral
CCGCUGCUACUGCCGCUGCGGCAGGCUGUAGCAUUGGCCACCAGCCGUCACCUCGACAACGUGUGGGCAUGGGUGGAGCUACAGCCGCCGCCGCCGCCGCAGCCUGCGGCUGCGCCCUCCUCAUCCGGCAGUAGCAAUAAUGCCAGCAACAACGGCAGUAGCACUGUUGAUGGCAGUAGCAAUGGCAGUAGCAGUGGCAGUAGCAAUGGCAGUAGCAUACAAGCGGACGAGGAGCUGGUAUACGUGGCACGGCGCUGGCCAGCUGCCCGCAGCCCCUGUGACGUGGAGAACCGCCUGGGCUGCGGCGGCAGCGACACCUACAGCUACCGCCAGCGGCGCCCGCCGGCCGGGGCGGCGGCGGCGGCGCUGGCGGGCCGGGGAGCCGUCGUGUCCCUCCGCGUGGAGGGUGAGUGGCAGCGGCGGCGAGUUUAUUUCGUGUGUUCUGUGUGGCUUGUGCGGCUGUGCGCGUGUCCGCGGAGUUUUGAGUGGGGCUAGUUGCUUGGGCAUGGUCACAAACGUUACGGUACACGUACGGACACACCGCACAGGCUUUCUCACACUGGAUGCGGCGGCGGCGGCGGCGGACUCUGUCCAGGACCAUGUGGGGCGCGGCACGAUCAAUGCGUUGCUGUUCGCCCUGCCGUGGGUGCUGGACGGCACACCCCUGUACCCGCCGCCCCCGCCCCCAACCCCGACCCCGACCCCAGGAGGAGGGGCAGGAGCAGGGGCUGCAGCUGGGACGGGUGCGGAAGCCGAGUACGGGCAGCAGCAGCAGCAGCAGCAGGCUGUAGCUGACUGGCUGACGCUGGCGCUGCUGCGUGCCGCUGCUGCUGGGGGCGCGGGCGGUGGACGUGGCAGUAGCAGCGGCAGUGGUAGUGGCCGUGGAAUUGCCUGGCCGCUGUUUGACAUCACCGUCACACCCAACCGCAGCAGCAGCAGCAGCAGCAGCAGCGGUGGUGGUAACAGCGGCAGUAGCAGCAGCAGUAGCAGUAGCAGUAGCAGCAGUAGCACCAGCCGCGUGCCGCAGCGGCGCUUCGCUUGGGGCGAGGGCAGCCCUCGUCGCAACGACAGCAGCAGCAGUAGCAACAGCAGCAGUAGCAGCGGCUGUAGCAGCGGCAGUGGCAGUAGCGGCUGGCCUCGCCCCAGCGUGGCCUUCCCCUACUACAACGAGCCCGUGCUGGCGGUGUUGUGGAGUCGGGCGGUGGUGCGCGAUGAUGUAGCGGAGGCGGCGCCGCCGGGCAGUGCCGUACUGGGGGUGCUGGUGGCGGCGGCACGGCACGUGGAGGCAGCCAUGGAUCCCUUCGGGCAGCGCUGGAAGACCGGCAGUAGCAGCAGUGGCAGCAGCAGCAGCAGCAGUAGCAAUGGUAGCGACAGUGGCAGCACUGUCGGCGGAGGCGGUGGAGGCGUGAAUGGCAGUAGCAGCAGCAACGGUGGCGGUGGAGGCGUGAAUGGCAGUAGCAGCAGCAAAGGUGGCGGCGGCGGCGUGAACGGCAGUAGCUACAGGAAUGUGUUUGCGGAGGAGGCGGCGGCGCGGGGGCAGAUCAGCGGUUCGACCCAGACCGCGAGUGAGUGCCCGUGGAUGCUGUGUGUGUUUGUGGGGGCAGGGGGGGGAUUGCAAGGAUGUUUGGAAAAGCGGUAGGGGGGUUUGUACACCGAGCUCCAACGAGUGAGUCCCAUCAUCAUCAUCAAGGGGAUAUGCCACACAUUGCGAUGCCAGGACAUCCCUUACACCCACACCGUUUCCGCCCCACCCCACCCACUCCAGUCAACCCCACCCCCCACUCUGUGUACCUACCUCUGCAACCCCCCAUCCCACACCCCCUGUUCCUGAACCUUAAACCCACACCCCCGCCUGCUGCACCGCCCGUGGUUCCCGCUGCUCCCUCUGCUCUUGCCCUGCGGCUCCCAUGGCCGUGGCCUCGCAAACCCCCACCCCACCCCACUGCUUGUAUCCUGUUCCCAAUCUUUUUUAACCUCGCAACCCCCCACCCCAUCGCCACUGCCGCCACUGCCGCCCAGUCAUCUUGGUGGGCACCUAUCUAUGGGGCGUGUGCGGCGCCGCGAUGAUUGGUCUGGUAGCGCAUGUCUGGUGAGUAGGGCUCCGCCGUCCGAGUUGCUUAACUUGAAACCCGCGGUGUGGGUCUGCGCUGUUGGAGAGAGGCGCCUGAAUGCGCAGCUGCGAGGUAGAUACGCGCGCCGUGUAAAGGUGGCGGGUAAUGUAUAUGAAACUUGGUAGCCCGGGGUGGGACAACGGUAAUGUGUGCACGACUGUGGUAUUAUUGAGUGAUUGCCAUUGGUGUUGCAAUGGGUCCGCAUUGCGUCCUCUGCUUUCACACGUACACUCCGUGCAGGUACGAACGGCGCGCAGACGCAAAGGCGGCGGCGGCGGCGGCGGCGGCCGAGGCCGCCGCGGUGGCGGCGGCGGCCGACCACGAGGAAGCACGCGCGCGCCGCCGCCGCCGCCGCCACCUUGCGGCCGCGGCGGCAGCGGCGGCGGCGCUGGCUCCCGCUGGCGACGGCAGCGAUGACCAUCCGGGGGAGGGCGACCCACAACCCCACGAGUACUCACACGCGCAACCACAUGGUGGUGACACCGACUUGUCGAAAGAGGGCGGCGAGGGUGAUGUUGAGGAAGAGGAAGAGGAGGGCGGGGCGGGCGAGAUUCGACCGCUGCGGCCGCGGUCGGUGCUGAUCGAUGGCAGAAGCAUGAGUGGCGGCGGCCGCAGCGGCCGCAGUGCCGGCAGUAGCCAGCAGCGGCGCUCCGGCAUGAUGGCGGCGCACGCAUCGGCAGUAGCAGUGGUGGGUACUGCUACUGCCGGCGGCGGCAGGGGCAGUAGCAGGGGCAGGGGCAGCGGCAGUAGCAUCUUGGCUGGGGCUAGGCCAGGCUUGCCGAUGGCUGCUGCUGCCGCCUCUGCGCGUGGCAGCACGGAGAGCAUGGGCGGCGAUGCUACUGCUACUGCCGCUACUGCCGCUACUGCCGCUGCUGCAACUGCAGCCGCGGCGGCUGCAGCUGCUGCAGCUGCUGCAGCCGCGGCGUCCAGCCUGUCUGCGCACAGGAGCCAGCGGCGGGUCGCGGCGGCGAUGGCGGCGGCGGGCGUGGUGAUGCACACCAACGUGCUCGCAGGCCCCGACACGGAGCAGCGCCCCGGACACGGACAGGGACAGAGCCAGCCGGGUCGCUCAGUGCCUGGGGUGGCGGCGGCGGCCGCAGGGGCUGCUGCUGCUGCGGCGGCGGCGGCCCCGGCGGCGGCGGCGGCGGCGGCAGGUGCGGUGCAUGAGGCCGGCUGUGUGGGGGACGCAUCGGCAGCAGCAGUAGUAGCGGCAGUAGCGUGCGGAGGCGGAGGCGAGAUAAGCCCCGUGACGCAGGAGGCGCCCGCAGCAGACACGGCCGCUGCAGCCACGGGCCUGCAGCAGCUGCGGAGGAGUGGUGGGGGCCGCGCCGCCGCCAGUGAGCCGCACCCCGCCGCCGCCGCCGUGCACACACACGGCGGGCAGGGGCAGGGGCAGGGGCAGGGGCAGGGGCAGGGGCAGGGGCAGGGGCAGGGGCAGGGGCAGGGGCAGGGGCAGGGGCAGGGGCAGGGGCAGUCUCAAGUGAGGGGCUCCUCACAGCAGCAGCAGCACCCGCAUCAACACCCAUCAAAGCUGCUGCCCAAACAGCAACAGCAACAGCAACACAAGCAGCAGCAGCAGCAGCAGCAACAGCCGCAGCAGCAGCGUCGCAGACUGGCGGCGGCGCCUCAACCCCAGGCUCUGUCGCAGCCGCCCUUUCAUGAUCAGCCCCCGUGGGAAGCAGCCGCAGCAGCCGCAGCGGCCGGUACGUUUGGCGACGCUGCUGCUGACGGGGUAGCGGCCGUGGGGGCGGCGCCGUUCUUGUCGUUGGGUGCAGGAAUGAAGAGCAUGAAGGCCCACGCCUCCUCAACGUCCACGUCGCCCGCGGCAUCCGCGAAGCCCAAUGCUAGUAGCAGCAGCAGCAGCAAUGCGCAAGCGGCAAUGGCGGCAGUUACAAUGCCAGCAGGAGUGGCAACAGCAGGACCAGGAGCAACAGCUAUAGCCGCAACAACCGCAGGGGCUGCAACAACCGCUGGGGCCGCUAGCAGCAGUGCUCGUGCGGUAGAAGUGCGUGGUACGGUGGCAGCAGCAGCAGCAGCAACAGCGGCAACAGCGGCAGGAGCAGCAGCAGUGGCCACCCGCCGCGGGCUGCGCGUAUCAAUUCCAUCGCCACAGCCGUCGGGCCCGACUCCGAGCAGCAGCGGGGCCAGCGGCAGCUCAAUUGUGGGUAGCGGCAGAGCACAUGCGUCUUUGGCGGCGGCUGUAGCUGCUGCGGCGCCGCAGACUGCUGCACCUGCAACCGCUACAGCCGUUGCUCCAGCAGCCGCCACAGCCGCUGCAGCCGCCAGUGUCCCCUCCGCCGCCGGACCACAGGCCGUUAGCGCCCUGCGGGCGUCUGUGCCGACGGCGGCAGCGGCUGCGUCCGUGACAGCAGCAGGAGCACCGGCAGUAGCAGCCAGCACUGGCCGCACGCCACGGCCCUUGCGGCCGCUGCAACGCGGCGCGUCUGCGGGCUCCGCCGUGAGGUCCCCAGUGGCGGCGGCGUCGCCGGCGGCACUGGUGCCCGCAGAGGCUACAGCCUCCCCGCGCGCCGCCUGUGCAGCGCCGCCUCCGGCAGUAGCCGCAGUGGCAGUAGCCGGCGACGGCGGCGGCGGAGGCGGCGGCGGCGUCAGCUUCCGGCAGAAGCUGGAGGGCGCGUUUGCUACAGCCAUGCAGCAGCUGCAGCAGCAGCGCGCCGCCGCCAUAGCCGCCGCCGGCGGCGGCAGCCUUUCUCCGGUUGCGGUGGCUGCGACGACUGGAGGUGCUACUGCUGCUGCCUUGCCCGUGGCGGCGGCUGUGGCGGCGCCCAACAGCAGCGAUGCUACUGCUGCUGCUGCCGCCGCGGGCAAGGCCUCCGGUCUGCGGUCGUAUCAGUCCGCUCCGCCACCGCCGACGGGCGGGUUGGCAGUAGCACCAGCAGCGGCAGUAACAACAGCAGUAGCACCAGCAUCCGCAGCAGGUGGCGGGGUGGCUCUGUCACCUGCGGCGGCAGCGGCGGUGGAUGGCGUGCGCGUGGCGGCACGCGUACCGGCGGCGGCGGCGGCUGCAGCGGUGGCAGCGGCAAGGCAGGAGCUGAGUCCGGCCAAGCUGCAUGAGGAGGAGGGUCCGGGCGGUGGGGAGCUGGUGGCAGCGGCAGCAGCGGAGGGGGCGGGAAUGCUGCCGGCGGCGGCAGCGGCGGCGACAGGGACGGCAGCGGGUGCCAGGCACGAUCGCGUGCGGAGGUAGCUAGCGCGCUGCCGGUAGGUGUCGGCGGCUUGAGUGGUGAGCUAGCUGCGUCAUGAAUCGCGACUGGACGCACCGGAAACCUGUUGCAUUGGAAGGGCUGCUGUCACUGUUAUGCUGCUGCACGUUGUGGGACGUUUGGGCGUGUAGAGCGAUGGAUGCAUCCGCGGGUCACUCAGCGACUACUGGAGGCGCGUUUUUUUGGCAAGUGUGCACAACCGGGCUUUGUGACCCAAAGUUUAGGAGCAAAGUGCAGCAGUGAACGAACUUCAAUGCACAAAUGAUUCUGAAUGAUUGCAGCGCUGUAACAGGUUUUGCCUCGCUAGCUUAAUUCCGCUGGUCGCGAUGCCGCCUUCUAAGUUCAUCAGGCUAUUGUCGGUCCGCACCGGCGCCGGCAGCAGCUCCGCCUCCUCGCAUCAGGCCGAGCCGAGCCACGAGGAGCGGGUUGCGCGGGUGUGCGCUCUGGGCGGCCGCGUGCUCCAGGCGUUGCUGCUGCAGCAACAGCAACAGCUCAUGAGUGCCAGUGGUAACAAUGGGAAUGCAGGCAGCAGCAGCGGCGGCGGCUCUGGCGGAAGCAACAGCAGCUCGCACGUCGGUGCUGCUGCCGCGACCGCCGCCGCGAUCGCGCGAGGUUCUGGCAGCAGGGGCGGAGGCAGCAGCCGCAGAGCAGCAUCAGGCGGCGGCGCAAGGGUGGCAGCAGCAGGUGGCGGCGGCGGCGGCGGUGGAGGCGGGGCCCCACUGCCGCUGCCUAGAGCGGCGGAGCUGGCGGCGGCGGCUGACGACCUGGCCGUGAUCAGGGAGGUCGUGUCUUCCGAUCCCAGCCACACCACUCCCGACAUCUUCACGGAGGCCCGCCUGUGCGGCCAGCUGCAGGGGCUGAUGGCGCUGUUGGGCUGGUGCCUCAGGCUGGCAGUGCCGGCACAGCCGCCCUUCGUCACCACAGCCAGUACCUCCGCCGCCGCCUCCUCCUCUUUCGGUAGCACCGCCGCCGCCUCCUCGUGCGGCGGCAGCGGCGGCGGCGGCAGCAGAAGCACCACUGGCGGCAGCGCCGCAGGCAGCACCGCCGCCGCACCUGCGCUUGGCACGGAUAACGACGCCCUGUGCAGCGCCGCUAGCCGGCUGCUGAGCGCAUUGGUGCUUGCAUUGGCCAACCACUUCACUUGCAACGAUACGCCAGCGGCGGCGGCGUCGGCGGCGGCGACGGAGGACGGCGGCCUUCUGAAGGCGCAGGUGCUGACGCUGCUGGUCCGCUGCGGCUGCUUCCAGGUGACGUGUGCGGCCCUGGAGCGCUGCUGUUGUGCGCUUGAGCCGGCGCUGCCACCGCCACCGCCACCACUGCUGCCACCGCCGCCACCGCCGCCGCAGCCGCCGCAGCAGCAGCAGCAGCAGCAUCAACAACAGCAGCAGCAACAGCAGCAACAGCAACAGCAGCAGCAGCAGCAGGUGACGGCGGCGUUGGCGUCUGCGGCCGUGGCACCGCAGCGGCGCGUGAGGCUGGGCAAGGCGGGGUGGUGCACGGUGUGGUAUUGGCUGACUCACACCUGGGACCUCCUGGCCACCCUCAACUGCCUCUACGACAGCGCAACCGACGACUUUCGGAGCGUCCGGCACGCCAUUGACGCCCUCCGCAGCUCCCUGCCCGACCCCACCUUCGAACUCAAGCUCCUCGACUGCUACAGCCGCACACUGCUGGCGGCGUCAGCGGCUGUAGCAGCAGGGGCCAGCGGUGGCGGCGGCAGCUCGACGCAGCAGCAGGCGGAGGAGCUGUCAACCGCUAUCCGACGCUUUACAACAAAUGUUCUGACGCCGAAGCUGCUGGGCAUCACGCCGCAGGUUCUAGAGCCUUACGUGGCGGCGUGCCCCGCGCUGUCGUACGCGCUGGCGGCGCACGCCGUACACACGUGCGCGGCGGUUGACGGCGGCGGCACGUACGGCCUGCGGUGCAGCCCGGUGGCGGCGGCCGUGGCUAGGGUGAUGGCGCCGCCAGGCGGCACUCGCGGCGGCGGCGCUGGCGGCGGUCGGGGCCCGGUCGUGGGGAUGGGGGCAUCGUGGAUGGCAACGGCGGCUGGAGGAUUGCGGGCUGUGUGGGGUGCGGGUGGCGCUGGCGGCGGUCCGGGCGGCUCUGACGGCCCUGACGGCGAGGGCAGCUGCAAGCGGUGUCACGUCAUGCUGCCGCUGCUGGGAUCCGGCGGCGUAAAGCCGCUGGAGCCGCCGCCGCCGCCGCUGCUGCUCUCACAGGAAAGCAGGCAGCAGCUAUUCGGCAGCAGUGGCGGUGGGAUGUCGGUGGUCAUGGACCCGCCCGUCAUCGUACAUGGGAGGUUGGCGCAUCGCGCGGCGGAGGCGUGGGAGUCUGCGCUGUCUGAGGCCUGGCAGUGGCUGCAGGAGCACCCGCCGCCAGUGGGCCACCGCCUGUCACCGCAGGAGCAGCUGCAGCUGUGCCGGACGCAGCCGGGCUGCCUGCGGGCCGCGUACGCGCGCGCGUUGGGGCUGGCUGAGGGGCAGCCGCAGCAGCUGCAAGACCAGCUGUCGUCGGUGGCUGCUGGCGAGCGCGGCAGUAGUCAUGGGGCCCCGUGCAGCGCCGCGGCGGCAGCUGAGGAGCUGACUCGCCGGCUGGCGGCUGCGCGGAGCUGCCCGCUGCUGCACUGCGGCGGCGCCUUCGAGGUCGGCAUGCGGCUGGCGGCGGCGGCGGCAGGCUGCAUGGCAUACACGCCCGCGACGGCGGAGGAGCAUGCGCAGCAGCUGUGUGGCGUGCAGCGGCUGGCGCUGGCGGCGGUGGUGGGGCGCCGCAGCACUGCUACUGCGCCUUCUGCUGCUACUGCUCCUCCUGCUGCUACUGCUCCUGGUGCUCCUGCUACUGCGGCUGCUACUGCUCCUGGCGUGGGUCUGGGACGCGCUCCAGCCAGCGGUGAUAUCGCUGCGGAGGAGGGGCGGUCGCGGGACGUGCCGCAGCCGCUGUGGCGGCGGCUGGAGCUGGGGGAGGUCUCCCGCGUCAACUUGGCGACGGCAGGCCUGAAGCUGGCGCGGGCGGCGUGGCUGGACACCAGUGCGGUGUGGAUGCCGCGGGGCGCGUUUGCGGGCCAGGACAGCGGUGGCAGUAGCAGGAGUAGCACUUGCAGCGGUGGCAGCAGUAGCAGCACAGGCGGCAAUAGCACAGCAGGCGGUGGGCGGGGCCACGGCGGCGUGCCGUACCCUCCGGCGCCGGUGCAGCGGGACCUGCUGUCCUGGUGGCGGGCGGCGCUGGGCUGGGCGGGCCUGUUGGACAUGGACUGGGGAGGACCGGACGGAGGCGGCGGGGCUGGAGGCGGCGGCGGCGCCGCCGCUGCCGCCCCUCGGUCGGCGGCUGCGGGUGCCGCUGCGUGGCCGGACGGCGGCCGGCGG